This is a non-coding RNA of Odocoileus virginianus texanus, 942 nucleotides long. NCBI's taxonomy places the organism in Eukaryota, Metazoa, Chordata, Mammalia, Artiodactyla, Cervidae. The record is from RefSeq and is a predicted model, not a curated record.
UCCUGUUAGGACGCCAUCUUGUUUAUGUGGCUGUGAUGAAGUGGUCUGGGGCUUGCAUUCUCCUACCUCAGCAGCCUUCCUUGACAUUCUACAAACUCCCAGCUCCAGACCCACAGAUUCUCUUCCAGGGCAGCCUGUGAGGACGGUGGUGACAGAUCUCUGCCUUCAGGCCACCCUAUGGAGCACACUGAUAAAGUGAACCUUUUACAAAGAAGAGCAUGAAGCUGGGGCAUUUACCAAAGGCAAUACAUAUAUUGGCCUGAACAGGUCAUUUCCCAGCAGCACCAAGGUAGACAUUCAGAAGCAGGUGAUGUUCAUAUGGACAACCAAGUAAGACAUGCUCCGUAUGCCAUUCCACCCCAUCGUCAGAGAAGUAGUUUUCAGAAACAAGACCAAAUGCAUGUUAACUUGGAGACAAAGCAAAAGCCUCCAGAGAGAAGAAUGGAGAGAAACAGACAGGAGCAAACGUUUGGGAGCUGGUUCAAGAUCAUAAUUCCCUUUGGUAUAAAAUAUGAUGAGAAGUGGCUGCUUAAUUUGAUUCUGAAGCAGUGCAGUGUGCCCUUCAUUCCAGUCAAAUUUCACUAUGAGAAAAUUCAAGCCCAGUUCUUCGUAGAGAAAGUCAGUAUUGCCUGUGCAUUGAAGAAUGUCAACGGCAAGAUUUUCAGUGAGGAUAUCUAUCUUUGUUGAACCCUGUGACACACCCCAGUCUGUGCAGAAGGCACUGAAGUCUGAAAAGCUUUUGUCCUUGAACCUGAGCAACAAGAAGUCCUACCUGGUGCAUGGCCUGUUCACCAUUAUGGAGAAUGCUUCCACCAAAAACUUGAACCUCUCCAGCACUGAGCACCAUCCUGGAAUUGUUCCCCAGGUUUCUAAGCUUGGUAAGUGCAUUCCUUGAUCACAGACUCCUCUAAAUAGCAUUGACAGUGCCCACAAACUACUCUG